GGAAGGAUCAUUAUUGAAUUUAAAAGCUAUACUGCUGCUGGUCUUUCACGAGACAUGUGCACGUGUACUUUCAUUCUACACACCCCUGUGAACUACUGUGGAAACGCUGGGCAACUGGCUGCUCCAUUUUUAUAACACACACACACUUGUAAUCUGAAUUAAAUAAAUCUUAAAUGAAAUACAACUUUCAACAACGGAUCUCUUGGCUCUCGCAUCGAUGAAGAACGCAGCGAAAUGCGAUAAGUAAUGUGAAUUGCAGAAUUCAGUGAAUCAUCGAAUCUUUGAACGCACCUUGCGCCUUUUGGAUUUUCUAAAAGGCAUGCCUGUUUGAGUAUCAUGAAACCGAUCAGUGAACACUCUGAAUUAAUUUUCUCUGUUGCUUGCUGGACUUGGAUGCUGCUGGUUUUUAAUAAUCAGCUCGUCCGAAAUGCAUUAGCUUGGAGUUGCGAGUCUUUGAAUGCUCCCUGGCGUGAUAAUUGUCAUUAGUCAUGGAAGAUUGCAAGGCAAAGCUACACUCUGCUUCUAAACCAUUUUCUCCGGAAAAUACACUUAAUAUUCUGAUCUCAAAUCAGGUAGGACUACCCGCUGAACUUAAGCAUAUCAAUAAGCGGAGGAAAAGAAACUAACAAGGAUUCCCCUAGUAACGGCGAGUGAAGCGGGAUAAGCUCAAAUUUAAAAUCUGGUGGUCUUUGGCCAUCCGAGUUGUAGUCUAGAGAAGUGUUUUCUGUGCCGGACCAUGUACAAGUCUCUUGGAACAGAGCAUCAUAGAGGGUGAGAAUCCCGUCCUUGACAUGGAGCCCCCGGGACUAUACGAUGCACUCUCAAAGAGUCGAGUUGUUUGGGAAUGCAGCUCAAAUGGGUGGUAAAUUCCAUCUAAAGCUAAAUAUUGGCGAGAGACCGAUAGCGAACAAGUACCGUGAGGGAAAGAAGGAAAAGACC
This 939-nucleotide small RNA is filed under the name uncultured fungus. Its description in RNAcentral is "eukaryotic LSU rRNA". The stretch from base 559 to 939 matches the Rfam family "Eukaryotic large subunit ribosomal RNA", at positions 1 to 375 of the family's 3401-position model. Lineage: Eukaryota; Fungi. The record is from RNAcentral.